GAUCAUGGCUCAGAUUGAACGCUGGCGGCAGGCCUAACACAUGCAAGUCGAACGGUAACAGGAAGAAGCUUGCUUCUUUGCUGACGAGUGGCGGACGGGUGAGUAAUGUCUGGGAAACUGCCUGAUGGAGGGGGAUAACUACUGGAAACGGUAGCUAAUACCGCAUAACGUCGCAAGACCAAAGAGGGGGACCUUCGGGCCUCUUGCCAUCGGAUGUGCCCAGAUGGGAUUAGCUAGUAGGUGGGGUAACGGCUCACCUAGGCGACGAUCCCUAGCUGGUCUGAGAGGAUGACCAGCCACACUGGAACUGAGACACGGUCCAGACUCCUACGGGAGGCAGCAGUGGGGAAUAUUGCACAAUGGGCGCAAGCCUGAUGCAGCCAUGCCGCGUGUAUGAAGAAGGCCUUCGGGUUGUAAAGUACUUUCAGCGGGGAGGAAGGGAGUAAAGUUAAUACCUUUGCUCAUUGACGUUACCCGCAGAAGAAGCACCGGCUAACUCCGUGCCAGCAGCCGCGGUAUACGGAGGGUGCAAGCGUUAAUCGGAAUUACUGGGCGUAAAGCGCACGCAGGCGGUUUGUUAAGUCAGAUGUGAAAUCCCCGGGCUCAACCUGGGAACUGCAUCUGAUACUGGCAAGCUUGAGUCUCGUAGAGGGGGGUAGAAUUCCAGGUGUAGCGGUGAAAUGCGUAGAGAUCUGGAGGAAUACCGGUGGCGAAGGCGGCCCCCUGGACGAAGACUGACGCUCAGGUGCGAAAGCGUGGGGAGCAAACAGGAUUAGAUACCCUGGUAGUCCACGCCGUAAACGAUGUCGACUUGGAGGUUGUGCCCUUGAGGCGUGGCUUCCGGAGCUAACGCGUUAAGCCGACCGCCUGGGGAGUACGGCCGCAAGGUUAAAACUCAAAUGAAUUGACGGGGGCCCGCACAGGCGGUGGAGCAUGUGGUUUAAUUCGAUGCAACGCGAAGAACCUUACCUGGUCUUGACAUCCACGGAAGUUUUCAGAGAUGAGAAUGUGCCUUCGGGAACCGUGAGACAGGUGCUGCAUGGCUGUCGUCAGCUCGUGUUGUGAAAUGUUGGGUUAAGUCCCGCAACGAGCGCAACCCUUAUCCUUUGUUGCCAGCGGUCCGGCCGGGAACUCAAAGGAGACUGCCAGUGAUAAACUGGAGGAAGGUGGGGAUGACGUCAAGUCACCAUGGCCCUUACGACCAGGGCUACACACGUGCUACAAUGGCGCAUACAAAGAGAAGCGACCUCGCGAGAGCAAGCGGACCUCAUAAAGUGCGUCGUAGUCCGGAUUGGAGUCUGCAACUCGACUCCAUGAAGUCGGAAUCGCUAGUAAUCGUGGAUCAGAAUGCCACGGUGAAUACGUUCCCGGGCCUUGUACACACCGCCCGUCACACCAUGGGAGUGGGUUGCAAAAGAAGUAGGUAGCUUAACCUUCGGGAGGGCGCUUACCACUUUGUGAUUCAUGACUGGGGUGAAGUCGUAACAAGGUA
RNAcentral lists this ribosomal RNA (1492 nucleotides) under metagenome. RNAcentral describes it as "bacterial SSU rRNA". It matches the Rfam family "Bacterial small subunit ribosomal RNA". The record is from RNAcentral.